CCUACGGGAGGCAGCAGUAGGGAAUCUUCGGCAAUGGGGGCAACCCUGACCGAGCAACGCCGCGUGAGUGAAGAAGGUUUUCGGAUCGUAAAGCUCUGUUGUAAGUCAAGAACGGGUGUGAGAGUGGAAAGUUCACACUAUGACGGUAGCUUACCAGAAAGGGACGGCUAACUACGUGCCAGCAGCCGCGGUAAUACGUAGGUCCCGAGCGUUGUCCGGAUUUAUUGGGCGUAAAGCGAGCGCAGGCGGUUUGAUAAGUCUGAAGUUAAAGGCUGUGGCUCAACCAUAGUUCGCUUUGGAAACUGUCAAACUUGAGUGCAGAAGGGGAGAGUGGAAUUCCAUGUGUAGCGGUGAAAUGCGUAGAUAUAUGGAGGAACACCGGUGGCGAAAGCGGCUCUCUGGUCUGUAACUGACGCUGAGGCUCGAAAGCGUGGGGAGCGAACAGGAUUAGAUACCCUGGUAGUCCACGCCGUAAACGAUGAGUGCUAGGUGUUGGAUCCUUUCCGGGAUUCAGUGCCGCAGCUAACGCAUUAAGCACUCCGCCUGGGGAGUCGACCGCAAGGUUGAAACUCAAAUGAAUUGACGG
This 586-nucleotide ribosomal RNA is filed under the name uncultured bacterium. Its description in RNAcentral is "bacterial SSU rRNA". It matches the Rfam family "Bacterial small subunit ribosomal RNA", at positions 338 to 916 of the family's 1533-position model. The record is from RNAcentral.